Long non-coding RNA from Heterocephalus glaber (naked mole-rat), 2242 nucleotides. RefSeq lists it as uncharacterized. The record is from RefSeq and is a predicted model, not a curated record. NCBI's taxonomy places the organism in Eukaryota, Metazoa, Chordata, Mammalia, Rodentia, Bathyergidae.
AGGGCUUGAGGGGAGGGGAGAUGGGAAAAGAGGCGGGAUGUACCAUGUACAGGUGCAAAUUCCCCACGAUGAGUGUAUCAUAACGUAUGUCUAAAAUGUAAAUGUUUUGCUAUUAAAAAAAAUCCUGUGUUGAAUCCCUGCCCUGUAAUGUGAUGGUGUCUAGAGAUGGAGUUUUGAGAGUUCAUUAAAUUAGAUGAUGUCAUGAGGGUGGGGUCUUUGUGAGGUGAUUAGUGUCCUAAGAAGAAGAGACAUCAGAAAGCUUGCGCUCCAUCUCACUCCAUGUGAGCACGGUGAGGAGAUGACAGUCUCUAAGCCAUGAAGAGAGUCCUCAUGAGGAACCAGUUGGCUGGGUCCUUCACCUUGGGCUUCCCAAGCUCCAGAACUAUGGCCUGGGACAACAUUGGGAAUACAGAUGUCGGGACACGUGCGCGCACAAAGCAAUGUUCUUCCAGGUGUGGCCAAGGAGAAAUCAAGCUGGACUCAGGGCCUGCUGGUGAGCAUCCUGGGUCUCCUGCUGUAGUUGAUUUUCAUGAGGACAUUGAAGCCACAAAACCUUCACAACUAGCCGGGACUGGGAGAAACCUAUCAGAUUGCUGUUCCUACAUCAUGGGCCACAGAGCCCAGGCAAACCAGUCUACAGUAUAGAGACCAGCUGGAUUCCUCUGUGGCCCCCAUCCUCUCCAAAAGAACAAUUGUUCAUGGAAAUUAAAGCGGUGAUGAGGCUUCUCCUGACUUAAAGCGAUCAACACAUGGGAAGGCAGAGAAAAUUCCAUGUCUGCUUUUAAUAAAAUAUACUUUUCUCAUCAAAAUAUUUUGAUAGCACAGGAAAAGAGAUGUGUGCUCAUUAAAUUUUAAUGAAUGUCUAUCCCUGCCAUUUUCCAUAUGAGGAUCACACACCAUGACUCAUUCCUGGUAGGUGCUGGGAAUAGUUAAUUGGGAACAAAUUUAACCCAAACACAAUCUUCAUUGCCAUAGGGAUGAAUGGAAGCCAAAUGGAGUCCAUCAGGAGGUAAGAACAGGUAGCCACAGGCCUGGGGGCUUUGGUUGACAUGACAUGGAUUCAGAUAGGUGGGCCAAUACUGUUCUAGUUCAGCCUAUAUUUGCUUGGGGAAAAAAAGGGAGUUAGAAAAGAAGGGCUGGAUUCUAGCCUCCAGGGAUCUCCAGUUCCAAGACUGAGCUGGUGACUCCAGAGGACAAUACUUUGGGCAAAGACUUUGAAGAGAAAGAAGGGAGAACUCUUGGGAGGGCAGAAUUGAUGAUAAUUUCAUGGUAACUCUCCAUAAUUGCCACAGAAGCCUCUUUGUCCACAGAGUCAAUUACAAAGCUCUCAUCCAUGAAGUUUAGACCCACUUCAAAGUGGCCCUAAGCCACCUUGCUGAGGUUAUCCCUCACUCAUGCCCAGCUACCAACCUCUACUCCUGCCAAGGUGGACUUCCUGCUACUCCCUACACCUGCUGUCUACUUCGCUGGCCCUUGCUUGAUUUUCUCUAGCAUCUGUCAUGGUCUCUCCACCUAUAUCUACUGGCUGAAUGUUUUCUACUCAUUGAGGAUCAUGUCUCCUUUGAUAUCCUUAAUUCUUGAUGCUCCAUUCCACUUGAGCUCAUAUGACCUCUCCACCCUUGCAACACUCAAGCCCUUUUGUUACAAGUCACCACCUCUGCUUUCUGUGAGGCCUGCAGCAUGACAGCAGUGCAGCCUCAUGGUCACCUGAGCAUUCUUCUGAGUCAGAAUGAGCUGCUUUGGAAGCUUCCCCCUUCCCUUAUGAGGUGCGUAAUUAUGGGCCAGUCCCUUACGAACAGAAGUAAUUGUAGUAAUAACAUCAGCCAACAUACACUGGUGUUACUGUGACUCAGGCAUUAGACAUCCGUGGGCUCACUUAAUGCCACAAGAACUCUAUAAAGUGAGUAUUUCCAUCCCCUGUGUCAUACAGAUGGGGAACAGGAUCUAAGGGGGGGGGCAGUGAUUUGGCCAGGGUUCCACAGGUAUUAUGUUGAGAAAGCAGGCUUUGUAUUUAGACAGUUGGGGUCCAGAGCCCAUGCUUUGACCACUGUGCAACAUAGCACUACACUUUCUAGGCCUCUUGAAGACAAAGGUCAGCUCAUAUGAUGGUAAUGAAUUUUAAUUCAUAGAAGAGAGAUGCUCAAUAAGACUGCUUAAUGAAUCAUAGUUGCUGUGAUUGUCAUUGCUGCAUGCUGGCCUCUACCCUCCGCCUGCCUCUAAGCUGAGGACAGAAAGCCACAUC